This 431-nucleotide ribosomal RNA is filed under the name Actinomyces sp. oral taxon 414. Its description in RNAcentral is "bacterial SSU rRNA". It matches the Rfam family "Bacterial small subunit ribosomal RNA", at positions 28 to 439 of the family's 1533-position model. The record is from RNAcentral. Lineage: Bacteria; Bacillati; Actinomycetota; Actinomycetes; Actinomycetales; Actinomycetaceae.
GACGAACGCUGGCGGCGUGCUUAACACAUGCAAGUCGAACCGGGCCUGUCUUCUUUUUUGGGGGGUGGGUUGAGUGGCGAACGGGUGAGUAUCACGUGAGUAACCUGCCCUUCGGUCCUGGAUAACCGCUUGAAAGGGCGGCUAAUACGGGGUGGUCCGGUUGGUCCGCAUGGGCUGGUCGGGAUAGACUCACUGUUUUUGGUGUUUCGGCGGGGGAUGGGCUCGCUGCCUAUCAGCUUGUUGGUGGGGUGAUGGCCUACCAAGGCGGUGACGGGUAGCCGGCCUGAGAGGGUGGGCGGCCACACUGGGACUGAGAUACGGCCCAGACUCCUACGGGAGGCAGCAGUGGGGGGUAUUGCACAAUGGGCGGAAGCCUGAUGCAGCGACGUCGCGUGAGGGAUGGAGGCCUUCGGGUUGUGAACCUCUGUUUC